UCGUUCACAGCGUUCUUUUGUCAUUGUUAAACAGAUUAAUCCACGCCCAUGAGUCGCCAUAAAGUUAAUCGCUUCUGGCGUUAUGUGCUCUGCGGCCAUGAUCA
Molecule: antisense RNA, 104 nt
Filed under: Vibrio genomosp. F10
Lineage: Bacteria; Pseudomonadati; Pseudomonadota; Gammaproteobacteria; Vibrionales; Vibrionaceae
Description: Vibrio sp. F10 Vibrio RNA AS9
Rfam family: Vibrio RNA AS9
About the family: Identified by direct cloning an parallel sequencing experiments with 5S/tRNA depletion.
Source: Rfam by way of RNAcentral